RNAcentral lists this non-coding RNA (35 nucleotides) under unclassified sequences. RNAcentral's name for it is "DUF805b RNA". It matches the Rfam family "DUF805b RNA". From Rfam's summary of the family: Bacteroidetes, Chlorobi (1 example), Proteobacteria. The record is from RNAcentral.
ACGGAGUAUGCUGAAAAUCCGACAAAGAGUAGGCA